CAGUAGCCGCGGUAAUACGGAGGAUCCGAGCGUUAUCCGGAAUUAUUGGGUUUAAAGGGUGCGUAGGCGGAUAGAUAAGUCAGUGGUGAAAGACGGUGGCUCAACCAUCGCAGUGCCGUUGAUACUGUUUAUCUUGAAUAUGGAUGAGGUAGGCGGAAUGUGGCAAGUAGCGGUGAAAUGCAUAGAUAUGCCACAGAACACCGAUUGCGAAGGCAGCUUACCAAGGCAAAAUUGACGCUGAGGCACGAAAGCGUGGGGAUCGAACAGGAUUAGAGACCCCCGUAGUCCCUGUCUCUUAUAC
This 301-nucleotide ribosomal RNA is filed under the name uncultured bacterium. RNAcentral describes it as "partial 16S ribosomal RNA". It matches the Rfam family "Bacterial small subunit ribosomal RNA", at positions 509 to 807 of the family's 1533-position model. The record is from RNAcentral.